GAUGAACGCUGGCGACGUGCCUAAUACAUGCAAGUCGAGCGAACGGACGAGAGGCUUGCUUCUCUGAUGUUAGCGGCGGACGGGUGAGUAACACGUGGAUAACCUACCUAUAAGACUGGGAUAACUUCGGGAAACCGGAGCUAAUACCGGAUAAUAUUUUGAACCGCAUGGUUCAAAAGUGAAAGACGGUCUUGCUGUCACUUAUAGAUGGAUCCGCGCUGCAUUAGCUAGUUGGUAAGGUAACGGCUUACCAAGGCAACGAUGCAUAGCCGACCUGAGAGGGUGAUCGGCCACACUGGAACUGAGACACGGUCCAGACUCCUACGGGAGGCAGCAGUAGGGAAUCUUCCGCAAUGGGCGAAAGCCUGACGGAGCAACGCCGCGUGAGUGAUGAAGGUCUUCGGAUCGUAAAACUCUGUUAUUAGGGAAGAACAUAUGUGUAAGUAACUGUGCACAUCUUGACGGUACCUAAUCAGAAAGCCACGGCUAACUACGUG
Molecule: ribosomal RNA, 497 nt
Filed under: uncultured bacterium
Lineage: Bacteria
Description: partial 16S ribosomal RNA
Rfam family: Bacterial small subunit ribosomal RNA
Source: RNAcentral